Molecule: long non-coding RNA, 1800 nt
Organism: Erigeron canadensis
Lineage: Eukaryota; Viridiplantae; Streptophyta; Magnoliopsida; Asterales; Asteraceae
Exons: 2
Source: RefSeq, a predicted model, not a curated record
AAAAAAAACACUCAGACUACCAACAAGAAAAGAAAUGAAGCAAGAGCAGAGGGAAGAGGAUGUUUUUCCAAGGGUUGUUGACCCCCCUUUGCCGCUUAUGAUUUUCUCCUUCUGUCGCCAUCCCUAAUUUCUCAACAACCCUUUUUAUUCUAUAUCGAUACUCCGUAUUAUUAUUAUUAUUAUUUUUUAUCGAACGGCAAAUCUAUUCUACUACUACUAUACUCGUAUACCACCCCUAAUCAUUCAUGCCAGGUAACCUGAUAUUGGCAUAUGGGAGGUGAUAUCCGUACCAUAGUAUUUGUCACAGGGACGAUUUGUGCAAUUUACUCUUUAUCUUUAAGGGAAGUGAUAUAUUUACCACGAUUAUAUAGUUCUACACUCUACUGUAUAAUUUUGAUAACAGGCAAGGCAGGGGCAGUGAUGAUAAAUGUGUCUCUAUAUGUUGGUCGUCUGAGUGUUUGUGGGGUCAAACAUUGAGAUUUAGCCGUAUCUUGGCGGGGCAUUCAUUUGCAGCCAUGGCGGUUUUAUCCUUGUUUUUGUACCCACUGUUUUUACAGAUCUGAGCCCUCCGUAUUAUUAUUUUUAAUGAAAUGGUUUUCAUAUAAUCUGUAUAAUUUAGUAAUAUAUGUUGCUUUUUUAUUUUAUCUAUAACAACUAUUGAUGAAGUUUGUUUGUUUGAAAGCAUGACAAAAGGAUUAUGAGAUAACAGUAUAGGUGUUGGUGAUUAAAGUGGUUGUUAUUGUGACUUUUUGGGACUUUUCUUUUUAUAGCCACUCGAAUUGACUUAUUUGAGGAACUGGUUUGGAAUUGCCGUUUUUUCCAUUGAGUCGUCUUGAGUAGAAAUCGAGUUGGUCAAUGUUUUAACUAUAGAUGAAUUUGUUGGUUCUCAUUAUAUGAGGCAGGGGACGAGCCUUGUGGCUAUGAUACAUCAUACAUACAUUGCUUAAAUUAUUGAUGGACUCCCUGAGAAGACUUGUAACCAUGUGAUGGUGUGUGAACAUUCAUCGAUAUCUUGCAAACUGACAUGGCAUUGGAGAAGAGACGUAAGAAGGGGUCGAGUAGAAGAAGAAUUGCAAUCGCUGUCUGAUAUGUUCAAAGAAAUACAUCUUAGAGUUGGGGAUGAUAAAUGGAGCGAGGCCAACGACCUAACUGGAGUUUUCUCGGUGGCUUUCCCCAGGAAGCAAAUUGAUUCAUUUUACCUCCUGACUCGGCUUCCACCAACUGACUAGAAACAUUGUGCCGAGCAAACAUCACUUUCCGAGGUUAAUAAGUUGGAAAUGUUCCAUGGAAAUGCACUGGAUGGAUAUCGAUACAGUGCCAUGAUCUAACUGUAACGUCUUUCCAGAAGGUAUUUGCCAUAUUUUGUUGUACAUGCAGGUACUCAAAAUGCAUGGAAUGGAAUUCUUUCAUGAUGUAAUAUUGACAGGAGGACAGCAUAAUCCAGGGAACAGUCUAGGGAAGGGAUAUUAAUCAACGGUGGUCGUCGCCUUCUUAUGAGUUUCCAUAAUUUUUUCCUUGCAGAAUGGAGCUGAUCUGUAAGCACAAAACAUUAUAAUUAGAGAUGUGAUGGUAAGUUUCUACUUGUUUGAGUGAAUCAGUCCAAGUAGGAAGUUUAUUUGUCACAUCAUUUUGCUUUACUUAUUCAGUUUUACUAAAAUUCAAUCUCCUUAAGGGCAAGUUUUUUAUUUUUUUUUCCCCACUCGUAUCAAUAUAGUAUGCAUUACAAUACACGUUGUUGUCUGUCCCAUUUCGUGUUGGGUACUGUUUGAUCAUUAAGAAUUUGCCCUCUUUCUACCGUAA